Long non-coding RNA from Gavialis gangeticus (Gharial), 252 nucleotides. RefSeq lists it as uncharacterized. The record is from RefSeq and is a predicted model, not a curated record. The transcript has 2 exons. NCBI's taxonomy places the organism in Eukaryota, Metazoa, Chordata, Crocodylia, Gavialidae.
ACAUGACUAUUUUGCAUUAUUAAUUGUUUUUAUGGUUUAGAUACAAAAACAUUUUAUCACAAAUAAACUGCAAGUCCGUGAUGAAAAUCUGAAGCUCUGUACACGCAGGGAUUAAGGAUCUCUCAGCUCUGUUAGUAUUUACUUCCAAUUUUUUGUACAUGUUCAUUCAGAGUGCCAUAUUAGGAUAUUUACAAACAUUGGUCUAUUUUAAUACAUAUUAACAAAAAUCAUUUCUGGCAUUUACAGGUCAUU